Molecule: ribosomal RNA, 253 nt
Filed under: uncultured bacterium
Lineage: Bacteria
Description: partial 16S ribosomal RNA
Rfam family: Bacterial small subunit ribosomal RNA
Source: RNAcentral
UACAGAGGGUGCGAGCGUUGUUCGGAAUCAUUGGGCGUAAAGGGCGCGUAGGCGGUCUGUUGCGUCGGGAGUGAAAACUUACAGCUUAACUGUGAGCGUGCUUUCGAUACGGGCAGACUUGAGGCAUUCAGGGGAGAACGGAAUUCCUGGUGUAGCGGUGAAAUGCGCAGAUAUCAGGAGGAACACCGGUGGCGAAGGCGGUUCUCUGGGAAUGUCCUGACGCUGAGGAGCGAAAGUGUGGGGAGCGAACAGG